This 455-nucleotide ribosomal RNA is filed under the name uncultured Gammaproteobacteria bacterium. Its description in RNAcentral is "bacterial SSU rRNA". It matches the Rfam family "Bacterial small subunit ribosomal RNA", at positions 21 to 475 of the family's 1533-position model. Lineage: Bacteria; Pseudomonadati; Pseudomonadota; Gammaproteobacteria. The record is from RNAcentral.
CGCUCAGAUUGAACGCUGGCGGCAGGCUUAACACAUGCAAGUCGAGCGGUAACAGGUCCUUCGGGAUGCUGACGAGCGGCGGACGGGUGAGUAAUGCUUAGGAAUCUGCCUGGUAGUGGGGGAUAGCCCGGGGAAACCCGGAUUAAUACCGCGUACGCCCUUCGGGGGAAAGCAGGGGAUCUUCGGACCUUGCGCUAUCAGAUGAGCCUAAGCCGGAUUAGCUAGUUGGUAGGGUAAAGGCCUACCAAGGCGGCGAUCCGUGGCUGGUCUGAGAGGAUGAUCAGCCACAUCGGGACUGAGACACGGCCCGAACUCCUACGGGAGGCAGCAGUGGGGAAUAUUGGACAAUGGGGGCAACCCUGAUCCAGCCAUGCCGCGUGUGUGAAGAAGGCUUUCGGGUUGUAAAGCACUUUCAGUGAGGAGGAAGGCCUUAAGGUUAAUACCCUUGAGGAUUG